GCAGGGCAGGGUGCUGGCUAACGGCCAGUCGAGGUGACUCGAAGGACAGUGCAACAGAGAGCAGACCGCCGAUGGGGAGCGAUCCCACAGGCAAGGGUGCAACGGUGCGGUAAGAGCGCACCAGCGUCCGGGGCGAUCCGGGCGGCUAUGUAAACCCCACCCGGAGCAAGGUCAAGCGUGGGACGGCCGGCCCGGCCACACGUCCCCAGGUAGACCGCUCAGAUGGAUGGCCACCCGCCGUUCCCCCGGGACCGGCGACAGAAUCCCGCCUACAGACCGACUCACCGU
Molecule: RNase P RNA, 288 nt
Filed under: Acidobacteriota bacterium
Lineage: Bacteria; Pseudomonadati; Acidobacteriota
Description: partial RNase P RNA component class A
Rfam family: Bacterial RNase P class A
About the family: Ribonuclease P (RNase P) is a ubiquitous endoribonuclease, found in archaea, bacteria and eukarya as well as chloroplasts and mitochondria. Its best characterised activity is the generation of mature 5'-ends of tRNAs by cleaving the 5'-leader elements of precursor-tRNAs. Cellular RNase Ps are ribonucleoproteins.
Source: RNAcentral